ACAUGCAAGUCGAACGAUGAACCACUUCGGUGGGGAUUAGUGGCGAACGGGUGAGUAACACGUGGGCAAUCUGCCCUGCACUCUGGGACAAGCCCUGGAAACGGGGUCUAAUACCGGAUAAUACCUGCUGAGGCAUCUUGGCGGGUUGAAAGCUCCGGCGGUGCAGGAUGAGCCCGCGGCCUAUCAGCUUGUUGGUGGGGUGAUGGCCUACCAAGGCGACGACGGGUAGCCGGCCUGAGAGGGCGACCGGCCACACUGGGACUGAGACACGGCCCAGACUCCUACGGGAGGCAGCAGUGGGGAAUAUUGCACAAUGGGCGAAAGCCUGAUGCAGCGACGCCGCGUGAGGGAUGACGGCCUUCGGGUUGUAAACCUCUUUCAGCAGGGAAGAAGCGCAAGUGACGGUACCUGCAGAAGAAGC
RNAcentral lists this ribosomal RNA (421 nucleotides) under Streptomyces sp. Ellin204. RNAcentral describes it as "bacterial SSU rRNA". It matches the Rfam family "Bacterial small subunit ribosomal RNA", at positions 53 to 491 of the family's 1533-position model. The record is from RNAcentral. Lineage: Bacteria; Bacillati; Actinomycetota; Actinomycetes; Kitasatosporales; Streptomycetaceae.